This 253-nucleotide ribosomal RNA is filed under the name uncultured bacterium. RNAcentral describes it as "partial 16S ribosomal RNA". It matches the Rfam family "Bacterial small subunit ribosomal RNA", at positions 524 to 776 of the family's 1533-position model. The record is from RNAcentral.
UACAGAGACUGCAAGCGUUAUUCGGAUUCACUGGGCGUAAAGGGUGCGCAGGUGGCCAAGUGUGUUAGGCGUGAAAGCCCGGGGCUUAACCCCGGAAUUGCACCUAAAACUACUUGGCUAGAGCAUUGGAGAGGGGAGCAGAAUUCAUGGUGUAGCAGUGAAAUGCGUAGAUAUCAUGAGGAAUACCAGAGGCGAAGGCGGCUCCCUGGACAAUUGCUGACGCUCAGGCACGAAAGCGUGGGGAGCAAAAGGG